UUUGAUUAUCUAUUGUGGUUUCUUGUUUGAUUAAUCGUCGUAUUUGGUUCUUUGCUCGUUGUUCCGUUUUAGAAGAUUAGGUUGUAGAUCCAUUUGGCAGCAUCCUCUUCUUCGUACUUUCCAUUAAUAGUGCGUAUUGAUCCCUGGUUAAUACUAUAUGAGAAAUUCCUCGAAUAGUGUUUUUAAAGUUUUUGUCACAAAAAUAGUUUUAAAUGAGAAUAAUCAUCAAAAAUUUU
RNAcentral lists this long non-coding RNA (236 nucleotides) under Brassica napus (rape). RNAcentral's name for it is "long non-coding RNA (BNAP_LNC007745)". Lineage: Eukaryota; Viridiplantae; Streptophyta; Magnoliopsida; Brassicales; Brassicaceae. The record is from RNAcentral.